GCCUGCCUGGCUCAGUUGGUAGAGCAUGUGACUCUUGAUUUCGGGGUCAUGGGUUCAAUUCCCAUAUUAGGCA
This 73-nucleotide transfer RNA is filed under the name Felis catus (domestic cat). It matches the Rfam family "tRNA". From Rfam's summary of the family: Transfer RNA (tRNA) molecules are approximately 80 nucleotides in length. Their secondary structure includes four short double-helical elements and three loops (D, anti-codon, and T loops). The record is from Rfam by way of RNAcentral. Lineage: Eukaryota; Metazoa; Chordata; Mammalia; Carnivora; Felidae.